UACGUAGGGUGCAGGCGUUGUCCGGAAUUUAUUGGGCGUAAAGAGCUCGUAGGCGGUCUGUCGCGUCGGCUGUGAAAACUCGGGGCUCAACUCCGAGCUUGCAGUCGAUACGGGCAGGCUAGAGUUCGGCAGGGGGAGACUGGAAUUCCUGGUGUAGCGGUGAAAUGCGCAGAUAUCAGGAGGAACACCGGUGGCGAAGGCGGGUCUCUGGGCCGAUACUGACGCUGAGGAGCGAAAGCGUGGGGAGCGAACAGG
This 255-nucleotide ribosomal RNA is filed under the name uncultured bacterium. RNAcentral's name for it is "partial 16S ribosomal RNA". It matches the Rfam family "Bacterial small subunit ribosomal RNA", at positions 524 to 776 of the family's 1533-position model. The record is from RNAcentral.